UGAUGUCAGAAAACAUGCAGGGCAAAGGAAUAUGAAGAAAGAGGUCAACAAGAUGACUACUGAGCAGAUUAAAGUCCUGGCUGAUAAGUUGAGGAUGAUCCCUGGCUUCACAAGGGGACAUUGUCCUUAAUUUCACUUCAGCCCUAUAGUGUGCUCAUUUGCUUAGACUCAGCACUUCUUUGGUAACAGAAAAUGAGAUGUUAUUUUUAUAAACAACACAUGUCUGUGGAAAUGACUCCUGCACUGUUAAGCUGGGAGUUCAAAUGAGUGCUCGACAUUUUCAGAGAAGAAUCUAUGAUCUGCUCUGGGCUCAUAAGCAGGCAGUAAGGAGUACAGGGCUGGCAUAAAACUCAGAUCAAAGCUUGUUUCCUCAGAGGCUGCAAUCAAUGAAGACGACAGACAACCAAGGAGAAGUCAGUAAGGCACAGAGUACUUGAGACGGCUAAGAGUGAUUUGGAGAAAAACAACCUAGAAGUCAGAGGGAUGCUUUUGGUUUUCAAUGUGUUUGUCAGAGAAGGCUGUACCUUUGAACAUUUCCAUAAAGGAGAUGAGUUGGGGGCAAGCAAAUGAUACAUUUCUGCUGACAGCUUUCAGUAACCCAACAACAGUGGAACAAGAGACAGCGUUAUGGUAGACGAAACUGGCAAAGGGAGGAAGCAGACGCUGAGGACUGUUGAGGCGUUUUGGACUAUCACAGGAGAGAAGCCAAGUUUCAAGUGGUGGAGUGGUGUGUUCCAAGUUCCUUUCUGAAGGAUCACUAUAGUGGUUUGCAAAGAGGAAGGACGGCUUUGGGUAUCAAACGGGAUGUAGAGAGAAGCCUCCAGUAAUUCAGGCAAACAAGAACUUACGGGCUAGGUCCCUUUCAGUAGACCUGGAAUCCGCCUGCAUCCCUCGCUCUACUCGAACAGCACAUGCUCAGACAGGGAACCGACCCCAAGAUAAGGCUUGAGAUAUACUGGGUACCAUCAGAUGACCAUGCUUCCACAGAACCACCAAGCCAGGGCAAAUUUCAGGAAUAACUUCAGGAGUUGCAGAGUAAAGCUGAUGGAAAAGGGCCUCUUCAUGGACUAUUCUAGAACAAACCAGGAAAAGGGAACACAGGAAAGAAUGAACGACAAAAAGUUGUCAAACAGUGAAUAUCUGGGCAACAUGAAGAGAAGAGGACCAAGUCUAGUUCCCAGAACAAAUGCCUUCUCUUUGGGCUGAAACAUGAGUUGUGAAUUAAAGGAGAUAAGGUCCUGUGAAUGUAUCUGUAGAAGAAAGAGUUUCUCAUACAACAUGAAAUAAGAAUCAGAAAGAGUUGGGGUUUCCUCACUGAAGUCAGCUGCCUGCAUGCUGUGUCCAUGAGGACUCCAUUCACUCAAGUGGAGAAGGCCAAGACACUCACAAAUACAGUUGUGCUAAAGAUCAAAGAGACAUGGAGGAUCUACCAGACUCUGCUCUCUUGUGCUUUCAUUUCCUGUAGGCUGUGAGCUUCUGAUUGUAGCAAUUGCCAGAGUCUUUGAUUGGAGAUGAUUUGUUUCCUUCCUGUCACUGAAAAUGCUGAAAGCCAGCCACCUUUCUGCCACCGGUACUUUAUAGCUUAUUUGUAGCUAAUCUACUUAGUGUUGGCAGAAGGAAUGCUUUGUUUUGCAGAUUCUAUUUUUAAGUUUCUUACUGGAGUUUCAUUUUAAACACCUUGCUAAGUUUGCCUUAUAUAAGGAAGCAAAUUGAUUGGAUCACUGUAAUUAGAAUCAACUUUUAACUAGCUACAGUUGUCAAUU
Molecule: long non-coding RNA, 1763 nt
Filed under: Cricetulus griseus (Chinese hamster)
Lineage: Eukaryota; Metazoa; Chordata; Mammalia; Rodentia; Cricetidae
Description: lncRNA (ENSCGRG00000025002.1)
Source: RNAcentral